GAGCCCGUAGCUUAGCCUGGUGGAGUGCACGACUGAUAAUCGUGUGGUCCGGGGUUCAAAUCCCCGCGGGCUCACCA
Molecule: transfer RNA, 77 nt
Filed under: Nanobdellota archaeon
Lineage: Archaea; Nanobdellati; Nanobdellota
Description: tRNA-Ile
Rfam family: tRNA
About the family: Transfer RNA (tRNA) molecules are approximately 80 nucleotides in length.
Source: RNAcentral